This is a long non-coding RNA of Symphalangus syndactylus (siamang), 688 nucleotides long. RefSeq lists it as uncharacterized. NCBI's taxonomy places the organism in Eukaryota, Metazoa, Chordata, Mammalia, Primates, Hylobatidae. The record is from RefSeq and is a predicted model, not a curated record.
GGAGUCCUGCUUGCUCUCAGCCUUCCUUCUUUCCUCUAGAUGGGAUGUAGAUGAGAUGGUUGAAGCUCCAGCAGUCAUGGUGGAUCAUGAGGAAACUCUGAGGAUGGAAACAACGUGCUUGGAGAAAAGGAAACGGAAGUCUGGAGAAAUGAUGCAGGUGGCUAUCAAGGCCCAAGAUGAUCUUGGAAGCUGCAGGCUGAAGAUGGCAGGGCCUGAGUCCCUGAGCUACUGUGUGGAGUAGAGCCCCACCUCCUUCUGACCAGGAAUAUAGGCAUUGGCAGUUACUGGGCUGAAUUAUGUUCCUGCCAAGAGCUGUGUCUAAGUCCUCAUCCCCAGUACGUGAGAAUGUGACUUUAUUUAAAAAUAGCAUUAUUGAAGAUGUAUUGAAAUUAAGGAUCUAGACUUGAAAUCAUCUUGGAUUUAGGGUGGGCCUUAAAUCCAAUGAUGAGUGUUCUUAGACAGAAAAGGAGGAGAUGCAGAGAGACACAGAGAAGAGAUGAUGUGAAGCCUGAGGUAGAGAUUGGGACAAUGCAUCUACAAGUCAAGGUUUGCCCCCAGCAGCCAGGAGUGAGGCAUGGAGCAUAUUUACCCUCAGAACCUCCAAGAGGAACCAACUUUUCCAACACCUUGAUUUUAGUCUCCUGGUCUCUGGAACUCUAAGAAAAUAAAUUUCUGUUGUUUUAAGCCA